RNAcentral lists this ribosomal RNA (515 nucleotides) under uncultured bacterium. RNAcentral describes it as "partial 16S ribosomal RNA". It matches the Rfam family "Bacterial small subunit ribosomal RNA", at positions 28 to 523 of the family's 1533-position model. The record is from RNAcentral.
GAUGAACGCUGGCGGCGUGCCUAAUACAUGCAAGUCGAGCGAAUGGAUUGAGAGCUUGCUCUUAUGAAGUUAGCGGCGGACGGGUGAGUAACACGUGGGUAACCUGCCCAUAAGACUGGGAUAACUCCGGGAAACCGGGGCUAAUACCGGAUAACAUUUUGAACCGCAUGGUUCGAAAUUGAAAGGCGGCUUCGGCUGUCACUUAUGGAUGGACCCGCGUCGCAUUAGCUAGUUGGUGAGGUAACGGCUCACCAAGGCAACGAUGCGUAGCCGACAGGAGAGGGUGAUCGGCCACACUGGGACUGAGACACGGCCCAGACUCCUACGGGAGGCAGCAGUAGGGAAUCUUCCGCAAUGGACGAAAGUCUGACGGAGCAACGCCGCGUGAGUGAUGAAGGCUUUCGGGCCGUAAAACUCUGUUGUUAGGGAAGAACAAGUGCUAGUUGAAUAAGCUGGCACCUUGACGGUACCUAACCAGAAAGCCACGGCUAACUACGUGCCAGCCGCCGCGGUAA